UACGGAGGGGGCUAGCGUUGUUCGGAAUUACUGGGCGUAAAGCGCACGUAAGCGGCUUUGUAAGUUAGAGGUGAAAGCCCGGGGCUCAACUCCGGAAUUGCCUUUAAGACUGCAUCGCUAGAAUUGUGGAGAGGUAAGUGGAAUUCCGAGUGUAGAGGUGAAAUUCGUAGAUAUUCGGAAGAACACCAGUGGCGAAGGCGACUUACUGGACACAUAUUGACGCUGAGGUGCGAAAGCGUGGGGAGCAAACAGG
This 253-nucleotide ribosomal RNA is filed under the name uncultured bacterium. RNAcentral's name for it is "partial 16S ribosomal RNA". It matches the Rfam family "Bacterial small subunit ribosomal RNA", at positions 524 to 776 of the family's 1533-position model. The record is from RNAcentral.